Long non-coding RNA from Hydractinia symbiolongicarpus, 3409 nucleotides. RefSeq lists it as uncharacterized. NCBI's taxonomy places the organism in Eukaryota, Metazoa, Cnidaria, Hydrozoa, Anthoathecata, Hydractiniidae. The transcript is spliced from 2 exons. The record is from RefSeq and is a predicted model, not a curated record.
GGGGGACAGUAUAUGUGAUGUCAGUUUUGCUGGAAGAAAACUCCACGGUUUCACGUUUUUGUUUUUGUUGAGAAUGUGUCAAUAUUUUAAUUGGAAAUGUCACAGGAAAACAAUUUGCAAGGAGUACAUUUAAAAUCAACAAAAAACAGUUCUUUCAACAUUAUUUUUAAGACCAAUGUCAAAACCAGAGUUUGAAAGGCAUUUAAAUUUAUAUCUAGAAAGCUGACAUUUUCGGAUUCAUUUUUUGGUAAAGGGCAUUAUGCAAGAUGCUGAAAUAUUUUCAUUAAAAUUUAUAUGACAGAUCUUUUCCGUUGCCCUUCCUUCUGUUUAAGUAUAUCUUUCCACGGGCCUUAUGGACAAUAAUAUAAUUUGAUUUUGGAAACCGGCAUUAAGGCAUAAAAAAAUGACCAAAUUCGCACCUGUCGCACUCUUGGGGGUACAAACAAUAAAUAACUAAGUUGUGUUAACCCAUUUUGCAGAAAUUCUUCUAAAAAUUCAAAGGCUUUUUAAAAUGCCAUACAGUUGAUUCCAUUCCAUAAAAUUACUAAAUUAUGACUAACUACAAUCCAUCAUUUUAUUAAAUAAAAUAGAGUUUCAUUUACUGCAUUAACUACUACAUACUUGUUUGUAAUUGUUUCAAGUACUUCAAAAUUUCUUAUAAACUUCAUUCCACUUUUAGGUAUUUCCACUUCUAACUUCCACUUUUGUGUUCAUAUUUACAUAAUAUAUCUUAUUAUUGUACAAUAUAAUAUACAGCCACCAAAUUGCACUUAUCUCAUUCUAACUACUUAUAUUUGAUUGAAUAUGGUACUGUAUCAAGAAUUAUUAAAAUAUGGUUGUAGUACCAAAUCGUGAAUACUGUUAGUAAACAAUAAGAAAACCUAUUAUUUGCCUAUCCAAAAUUGCAUGUACUACGUGAAGUGUUUCCUUUUUGUCUUUAUACAGUAGAGUCUCCAUAACUCGAACCUCUAUUACUCGAACGUCUCCUUAACUCGAACGAAUUAUCAUUUUCAUAUUUUAUUGUUUACGUGUGUUGUGGGCCUUAUAUUGUUUGAAUGCAUGAUUCGAAUGUUUUGUUUGUGUUUCGAACGACAACGCUUUAUAACUCAUUUAAAGCUACACAUAAUGAAUGGCUGCAAAGGAGAGGAGGGAAGAAAGCACUUUGUAUAGAAAAAAGAUAAAAUAAAAAUAAACUUUAUGGCUGAUCACUAUUGUCACAUUAUCAUGUGGUAAAAAGUAGACUCUCUUCACACUCGAGACGUGGCAGCAGAAAUUGUAACUAAAAUUCUGAGGAAGUAUAUAAAUCUAAAAGUGACAUAAGUCAACUGGCUCAAUUUAACCAGUAAACAGUUCCAUACAAAAUUUAGACCACUAAAGUUUUAUGCAUUGGUCAUGUUGUACUUGUAUGUGAUUUGUUUGAACAGUAUAUCACAAAACAUGUGUUGAGAUUGUAUUUUUUCUGGUUUUAAAAAAUUGAAAAAAAUCCAUAAUAGAAUGCAGUGGAUCCUUCGGCUGCUGUGGAUCCUUCUACAAAGUAGUACUUUAUUCGUUUUGGUAAGGUGCAAUGUCAUAACAGUGUCUGUGUAAGUAUCAUGUUAAGCAACAACCUGCAAUUAUAGUUGAUAUUUUAAAUGCUAAAUACUUUUAGGUAUCUAAUACAGGCAUGUUUUUAUGACAUUUUUCAUUUGUUGAUUUCGAAUUUUGUCUAAUAUCUAUUUUUAUUUCAACAAGAUAAUUAUUUAAGGGAACUUCGCGUUUGGUAAACAUUCACAUAACUAUUUAAAAGAAUUUGCAUAUCUUUUUUUUUCAUGUAUACAUUAACAUUUAUUUCCCUUUUUUCUUUGUCCUGCUUCUUCCUUUGUGUAGGCUGGACAGUCAAUUUUGCUGACAAAACUGAUAGUGAGAGAAUUAGUGAACAAGUAUCCUUGCAACAAGUGAAGUUUAAAAACUUCAAUUCACGUCGACUUGUCCACAUAAAGAGUGAUGUCAAUUAAAGCUCUGUUAGAAGUUAUUGGUGGAAAAUGUGUCAAUCGUUAACUCAAAACUUAACCCAUUUCAACCGAAACUAAACAGAAAGGAUCCAGCUAUCGAGCUUUACCACUUGGCUAGGAUGAAGAUCUUAGCCUGGACACGAAUAUCCAAUCUUCUAAUCUAACUAAAGGUGAAAGAAGAACAUUAGAACACUGCGCCAAAUGGUACUUCUAUUGUUUCAAGGAGGCUGAUAAAGGUUCAACGGUAGUCUAUUUACAAGAAGCCGAGCUACAACUUGGUGACGAAAAUGUAUAUAAAAAGGUUGUGUUGUUGGAAAAGUUACAGGAAGAUAUACUUUAGAUUAGUUUCUGGAUAAGAAUUUCAGGCUGCCCCGUAACUUUCAAUUGGGAAUUGUAAAGAUGUGUAUUUAAAAAACGCAGCUUUUACAACUUUUAAUAGAAAUUCUAAGUUGAAAGUAUUUAAAAUUGUUGUACAGUGGAAUCCCACUGAAGUGAACAUCAUCGGUGCAAGAAAAGUUGUUGAAACGCGUAGAUACUGCACAUAAUAGAAAUUACAGCAAUUUCGCAAGCGUAAUAUUAGAGAUACGGGGUUAUUUUUUUAACCCACACCAAAAAGUCAAGUUUAGUAAAGAGACGGGAAUAUUAAAGAUGCGGGAAUGAUAGAGCAUAAAUACGAUAUAUAUAACCUUUCUUCAGCAAUUAAUAUGUCGUUAUUCGUUUGCUGACUAGUUUUGUCUUGUUUCGGGUUAAAAUUUUUGAAAAAAAGUUUUCGCAUUAAAUAACGGUCGAAUCGAUCGCUAGUCUAUAUUUGUUACACCAAAUUUGGAAAGUUGUACCACCUAUUUUAAUUAACACACCCCUCAUUAAAGAAUUGUAACUUCCGCCUAUACUUUUCAGAACAAUUCAAGCGUUGUGUUUCACGAAUGUCUUUGAUUCGACUCCCUCCCCCCAAAUAUUACCAAUUCCCUUUCACCCUCUUUCAUCCAUCUGAAUAAAAAUCCACCUACAUAAUUUAUAAACACCAACUCCAACUAUCGAUUUGAAGGUAAUUAACAACCCCUUCUUAGUAAGCCCCCUCUUUACAAUAUGGUUAUGAAAAGUAACUUUAAAAAGAAAGACUCUGGCACUUAUAGACUAGACGUUCGUAAUGUUCUGAAAUUGUAGUUUACUUUAUUCGGAUAUUGACUUGAGCUAUGGCGGUAAUUUAUUUGUGUAUAUAUGUCUAGAAAUACGUUUUUUUUUUUGCUACGAGUAACGUUUCAGAUAGAAUUAGUAUAAAAUAAUUUUAUGAGGAAAUUGAAUUUACUGACUUUGUAUUCGACUGAGGCAUGGAGGUAUAGAAGGUAUAACAUCCAUGACUGAUGUAACGAGCAAAAUAAGAAGAUAUAUUUUUCAAGAAACAUGUGAUUUGAAUUGCA